CCUACGGGUGGCAGCAGUAGGGAAUAUUGCUCAAUGGGGGAAACCCUGAAGCAGCAACGCCGCGUGGAGGAUGAAGGUUUUCGGAUUGUAAACUCCUUUUGUUAGAGAAGAUAAUGACGGUAUCUAACGAAUAAGCACCGGCUAACUCCGUGCCAGCAGGCGCGGUAAUACGGAGGGUGCAAGCGUUACUCGGAAUCACUGGGCGUAAAGAGCGCGUAGGCGGGAUAGCAAGUCAGAUGUGAAAUCCUAUGGCUUAACCAUAGAACUGCAUUUGAAACUGUUAUGCUAGAGUAUGGGAGAGGUAGGUGGAAUGCUUGGGGUAGGGGUAAAAUGCGUAGAGAGCAAGAGGAAUACUCAUUGCGAAGGCGACCUGCUAGAACAUAACUGACGCUGAUGCGCGAAAGCGUGGGGAGCAAACAGGAUUAGAUACCCGGGUAGUC
This 440-nucleotide ribosomal RNA is filed under the name uncultured bacterium. RNAcentral describes it as "partial 16S ribosomal RNA". It matches the Rfam family "Bacterial small subunit ribosomal RNA", at positions 338 to 795 of the family's 1533-position model. The record is from RNAcentral.